CGUGAAAUUGUUGAAAGGGAAGCGCUUGCAAUCAGACUUGCACUUGGUGUUCAUCAGGGUCUCGUACCCUGUGUACUUCAUCAAGUUCAGGCCAGAGUAGAUGGGUGUGCCAUGAUAAAGGCUUAGAGAAUGUGGCCCUCUUCGGGGGGUGUUAUAGCUCUAGGUGCAAUGUAGCCUACUUGGACUGAGGACCGCGCUUCGGCUAGGAUGCUGGCGUAAUGGUUGUAAGCGAC
RNAcentral lists this ribosomal RNA (233 nucleotides) under Botrytis sp. RNAcentral describes it as "partial large subunit ribosomal RNA". The record is from RNAcentral. Lineage: Eukaryota; Fungi; Ascomycota; Leotiomycetes; Helotiales; Sclerotiniaceae.